CUUGGUUUGCAGUUGUAGUCAAGAGCAUUUUGGUGUUGGUAUUUGGUUUUUUAAUUUAAGGCAAAGUUAUAGAAUACUUAUAUUAUAUUUUUGCUUAAAUAGAUCUUUGGUGGUUUAAUUUUAUAGUUUCAUGUCUUAAUGAUACUGAUAGUGCUUAAAAGGUCUCUUAUGGUGUAUAGAGGUGAUUUGUGAAUAUAAAAGUGAUAUUUGAGUCG
This 215-nucleotide long non-coding RNA is filed under the name Physcomitrium patens. Its description in RNAcentral is "long non-coding RNA (PPAT_LNC003809)". The record is from RNAcentral. Lineage: Eukaryota; Viridiplantae; Streptophyta; Bryopsida; Funariales; Funariaceae.